RNAcentral lists this ribosomal RNA (1551 nucleotides) under Klebsiella pneumoniae. Its description in RNAcentral is "bacterial SSU rRNA". It matches the Rfam family "Bacterial small subunit ribosomal RNA". The record is from RNAcentral. Lineage: Bacteria; Pseudomonadati; Pseudomonadota; Gammaproteobacteria; Enterobacterales; Enterobacteriaceae.
ACUUAAAUUGAAGAGUUUGAUCAUGGCUCAGAUUGAACGCUGGCGGCAGGCCUAACACAUGCAAGUCGAGCGGUAGCACAGAGAGCUUGCUCUCGGGUGACGAGCGGCGGACGGGUGAGUAAUGUCUGGGAAACUGCCUGAUGGAGGGGGAUAACUACUGGAAACGGUAGCUAAUACCGCAUAACGUCGCAAGACCAAAGUGGGGGACCUUCGGGCCUCAUGCCAUCAGAUGUGCCCAGAUGGGAUUAGCUAGUAGGUGGGGUAACGGCUCACCUAGGCGACGAUCCCUAGCUGGUCUGAGAGGAUGACCAGCCACACUGGAACUGAGACACGGUCCAGACUCCUACGGGAGGCAGCAGUGGGGAAUAUUGCACAAUGGGCGCAAGCCUGAUGCAGCCAUGCCGCGUGUGUGAAGAAGGCCUUCGGGUUGUAAAGCACUUUCAGCGGGGAGGAAGGCGGUGAGGUUAAUAACCUCAUCGAUUGACGUUACCCGCAGAAGAAGCACCGGCUAACUCCGUGCCAGCAGCCGCGGUAAUACGGAGGGUGCAAGCGUUAAUCGGAAUUACUGGGCGUAAAGCGCACGCAGGCGGUCUGUCAAGUCGGAUGUGAAAUCCCCGGGCUCAACCUGGGAACUGCAUUCGAAACUGGCAGGCUAGAGUCUUGUAGAGGGGGGUAGAAUUCCAGGUGUAGCGGUGAAAUGCGUAGAGAUCUGGAGGAAUACCGGUGGCGAAGGCGGCCCCCUGGACAAAGACUGACGCUCAGGUGCGAAAGCGUGGGGAGCAAACAGGAUUAGAUACCCUGGUAGUCCACGCCGUAAACGAUGUCGAUUUGGAGGUUGUGCCCUUGAGGCGUGGCUUCCGGAGCUAACGCGUUAAAUCGACCGCCUGGGAGUACGGCCGCAAGGUUAAAACUCAAAUGAAUUGACGGGGGCCCGCACAAGCGGUGGAGCAUGUGGUUUAAUUCGAUGCAACGCGAAGAACCUUACCUGGUCUUGACAUCCACAGAACUUUCCAGAGAUGGAUUGGUGCCUUCGGGAACUGUGAGACAGGUGCUGCAUGGCUGUCGUCAGCUCGUGUUGUGAAAUGUUGGGUUAAGUCCGCAACGAGCGCAACCCUUAUCCUUUGUUGCCAGCGGUCCGGCCGGGAACUCAAAGGAGACUGCCAGUGAUAAACUGGAGGAAGGUGGGGAUGACGUCAAGUCAUCAUGGCCCUUACGACCAGGGCUACACACGUGCUACAAUGGCAUAUACAAAGAGAAGCGACCUCGCGAGAGCAAGCGGACCUCAUAAAGUAUGUCGUAGUCCGGAUUGGAGUCUGCAACUCGACUCCAUGAAGUCGGAAUCGCUAGUAAUCGUAGAUCAGAAUGCUACGGUGAAUACGUUCCCGGGCCUUGUACACACCGCCGUCACACCAUGGGAGUGGGUUGCAAAAGAAGUAGGUAGCUUAACCUUCGGGAGGGCGCUUACCACUUUGUGAUUCAUGACUGGGGUGAAGUCGUAACAAGGUAACCGUAGGGGAACCUGCGGUUGGAUCACCUCCUUACCUUAAAGAA